RNAcentral lists this long non-coding RNA (212 nucleotides) under Ananas comosus (pineapple). Its description in RNAcentral is "long non-coding RNA (ACOM_LNC007971)". The record is from RNAcentral. Lineage: Eukaryota; Viridiplantae; Streptophyta; Magnoliopsida; Poales; Bromeliaceae.
UGAGGAGACAAUAAUUGGAGGGAAAAAGUAAUAAUAAUUGAGAGACACUUAAAAUUGUAGAUCACCUAACACCUCGUCAAUUUUGAUCCGAUCCUCUACAUGGACUUAUUGGAUAUGAGUUAUGACACGUGUCAGAGUUGUUUAUGUCGAACCUCACAUCCAAUAAUGCAACGGUUGGCUCAAAAUCAUCGACUCGAUCCUUUAGCACAUAU